Molecule: ribosomal RNA, 384 nt
Filed under: uncultured Alphaproteobacteria bacterium
Lineage: Bacteria; Pseudomonadati; Pseudomonadota; Alphaproteobacteria
Description: bacterial SSU rRNA
Rfam family: Bacterial small subunit ribosomal RNA
Source: RNAcentral
CCCGGCUAACUCCGUGCCAGCAGCCGCGGUAAUACGGAGGGGGUUAGCGUUGUUCGGAAUUACUGGGCGUAAAGCGCACGUAGGCGGACUGGAAAGUUGGGGGUGAAAUCCCAGGGCUCAACCCUGGAACUGCCUCCAAAACUAUCAGUCUAGAGUUCGAGAGAGGUGAGUGGAAUUCCGAGUGUAGAGGUGAAAUUCGUAGAUAUUCGGAGGAACACCAGUGGCGAAGGCGGCUCACUGGCUCGAUACUGACGCUGAGGUGCGAAAGUGUGGGGAGCAAACAGGAUUAGAUACCCUGGUAGUCCACACCGUAAACGAUGAAUGCCAGUCGUCGGGUAGCAUGCUAUUCGGUGACACACCUAACGGAUAAGCAUCCGCCUGGGA